This 477-nucleotide ribosomal RNA is filed under the name uncultured bacterium. RNAcentral's name for it is "bacterial SSU rRNA". It matches the Rfam family "Bacterial small subunit ribosomal RNA", at positions 28 to 521 of the family's 1533-position model. The record is from RNAcentral.
GACGAACGCUGGCGGCGCGCCUAACACAUGCAAGUCGAACGGAGUUUCCCCUUCGGGGGGAGGCUUAGUGGCGGACGGGUGGAGUAACACGUGAGGAACCUGCCUUUGAGAGCGGGAUACCGUCUGGAAACGGACGUUAAUACCGCAUAAUGCAGCGAGGCCACAUGGCCAUGCUGCCAAAGAUUUAUCGCUCAAAGAUGGCCUCGCGCCUGAUUAGAUAGUUGGCGGGGUAACGGCCCACCAAGUCUGCGAUCAGUAGCCGGACUGAGAGGUCGAACGGCCACAUUGGGACUGAGAUACGGCCCAGACUCCUACGGGAGGCAGCAGUGGGGGAUAUUGCACAAUGGGCGAAAGCCUGAUGCAGCGACGCCGCGUGAGGGAAGACGGUUUUCGGAUUGUAAACCUCUGUCUUCGGGGACGAAACAAGACGGUACCCGAGGAGGAAGCCACGGCUAACUACGUGCCAGCAGCCGCGGU